CGAGGAAUCUUCCACAAUGGGCGCAAGCCCGAUGGAGCAACGCCGCGUGGAGGACGACGGCCUUCGGGUUGUAAACUCCUUUCGGGAGGGAUGAAACGGACAGUACCUCCAGAAGCAGCCCCGGCUAACUCUGUGCCAGCAGCCGCGGUAAUACAGAGGGGGCAAGCGUUGUCCGGAAUUACUGGGCGUACAGCGCGCGCAGGCGGUCCUGGACGUGCCGUGUGACAUCCGUCGGCUCAACCGACGGAGGCCAGGGUACACGACAGGACUGGAGGCAGAGAGAGGGAUGUGGAAUACCCGGUGGAGCGGUGAAAUGCGUAGAGAUCGGGUGGAACACCAGGGGCGAAGGCGGCAUCCUGGCUCUGGACUGACGCUGAGGCGCGAGAGCGUGGGGAGCAAACCGGAUUAGAUACCCGGGUAGUCCACGCCGUAAACGAUGUGUACCCGGCGCUGGGACGUGAUUGCGCGUCUCGGUGCCCCAGCUUACGCGAUGAGUACACCGCCUGGGGAC
This 511-nucleotide ribosomal RNA is filed under the name uncultured bacterium. RNAcentral's name for it is "bacterial SSU rRNA". It matches the Rfam family "Bacterial small subunit ribosomal RNA", at positions 355 to 880 of the family's 1533-position model. The record is from RNAcentral.